AAAAGUGCGGCUACAAAAAAAAAAAAAAAAAAAACAAAAAGUGUGGUGACAAAGAGUGCAGUGUGGAAAAUAAUAUACACAUACGAUACAUAUAUAUGUAUGCAAGGUGACACGUGGUGACAAAAGCAUACAUAUGUACACAUAAUAUAAAAAGAGAUUGUGCAGUGACAUACAUAUUCCCUACAAACAAAGGAAUAAAUCAUACAAAAUCACAAGCUACAACACUAGCAACAAAAGGACUGGAGAACUGGAGAAGCAGAAAACCAAGGACAGACACAAACGAAGCAAAGCACAAGCACUGGCAUACACACACGCACACGCACAAGACCCACACAUCCCAGCAAAACCUGCGUGACCGAAACUCCCACACAUUUACACAAUUUUUACUUAUUACUAACACACCCUCACAAAUCAUUUAAUUGCGUAAAGAGUCUAUCCGCUGUGCCUUUUGAUUGUUUUAUAUUACAAGCUCUUCACACAACAUCUUUUCUAUAAAAACAAAACAAAAGAAGACAAACUGAUUUCGGACAUGCCACUGUUUAUGGAAAACGAUGCAUGUAAAAGUAGACAACAUGAUAACAUGAUUGUUUACAUUCGUUUAUUCGUUGCGAAAAUUCGAAUUCAAAGAAAAAGAAAUUCGGCACGGGUGUUAAAUUGUGAAAAAUUUGUAUUUUGGUUAUAUUUUAUAAAAAAAAGUUAUUAAAAACGUGAUUAUAAAAGUGGUAUAUAUAUAAUUUGAAAAGGUGAGUAAACGGAGUUAAUUUUAAUAUGAAAAAAAAUACAUUUAGUGCUUACAUGAGCCGAGAAAAAAAGGCUUUUAAUGUCAGUGCCUCCAAAUUUGCCAAAAUAUGUAGUAUUAAUGUGAAUUCUGAUAGUGAUUCAAAUGUGGAAGAAUUGAGCUCCGUAGAUAUAUCUUUAAAUGAUUAUGAUAGCCAAGAUACCAUUGAUAGUGAUAGUGACAAUGUUAAUAUUGUAGUGAAAAAUGAUAAAUGCAAAGAAAUAAAAGCUUGGGCUUUACGUAAUAGGGUGUCCCACAAUACAGUGACUGAUUUGCUUCAAACCUUGCGAAAAAUAGGUUUAGUGGAUUUGCCCUUAACAGCAAAAAGUCUAUUAGGUACAAGUAGAAAAAAAGGUUAAUAUUGAAACCAUUCCAAGUGGCCCGUUUUUAUAUAGAGUAAUUCAAAAUUAUUUUGAGAAAAAUUCAUUUCCUCACCUUGAAAUAAAAGAUAGCAUUGUACUUGAUAUAGGAAUAGAUGGUCUUAAAUUAUUCAAAAAUUCGAAUAAGGUAUUAUGGCCAAUUUUAGCGUCCAUCGUUGAUUUUCCAAACGAAUUGCCAUUUACAGUAGCAUGUUUUUCUGGAACAGAAAAACCCUGGAAUAUUAACGAUUUCUUAAAAGACUUUUGUGAAGAAGUAGCUUAUUUAAAAGAAAACGGUCUUCAGGUAGGUUCUUCUUCCAUUAAAAAGAAAUUUAACAUUCGUUUAUUUUGCUGUGAUUCUCCCGCUCGAGCUUUUGUCACAGGUGUGCAAUCGCUCACUGGAAAAAACAGCUGUUCGAAAUGCGAUCAAAUCGGAGAAUACAAAGAGAGAAGAGUUUGUUUUUCAAAACGAGUUAAUCACUUAAGAACUGACCUGUCUUUUAAAAAUAGAAUUCAUAUUAUCAUAUCAUAUUAAUCCAUUUAAAUUUAGAGAAAGCAUUUUAGAAUUAGCUAAUUUAAAUAUGGUCUCCCAAUUUCCAUUAGACCCGAUGCAUCUUGUAGAUCUUAGUGUAUGUAAAAAGUUGCUUCAAUUACUAAUUAAAAAAGGGAAUAUAAAUGUAAGCAAAAUUAACGAAAAAAUAACUUUUCUCUCUAAUUUAGUUCCUUCUGAGUUUGGCAGGAUAUGUAGAAGUUUAGAUGAAAUCAGCAAUUGGAAAGCGACAGAGUUUAGGCAGUUUUUAUUGUAUAUAGGCAUAUUUGUCCUAAAAGAUUGUAUUAGUAGUGACCAUUACUACCAUUUUUUAUUAUUGCACGCAGGAAUAAGGCUGUUAUCAUGUGAAAAAUCAUAUAGUACUGAAGCUAACGUUGCCCAACAAAUAUUACAAGAAUUCGUUGAUUUGUUUGGGAAUAUAUACGGAGACCAUUUAGUUAGUUAUAACGUGCAUGGUUUACUGCAUUUAACUGACUGCACUAAGCAAUUCGGUCCUCUAGAUCAGUUUUCAGCCUAUAAGUUUGAAAACCAUAUGCAAUAUUUAAAAAAACUUAUAAAUAAACCGAAUAAAAUCCUUCAGCAAUUGCAUUUAAGACUUGAUGAAAGAACUAAUACAAACAUUGAACCCAACAAAACUUUAAAAAUUAAUUUAUUUAAUAUAGAAUUUAAAAAAGAAAAAGAUUCUUAUUGUUUUAGUGAAAAAUUAGGGCCCAUAAAAGUAAUAACUAUGUCAGACGAAUCUGGUUGCGUUAUGGUAUCUGCACAUUGUUUUUAAGAUGUUGAAAAUUAUUUUGAAGAACCUUUAGAAUCGUCAUCGGGUUUAGGUAUUUUAGUAGCGAAGAAAUUAGAUAAAAAGGUAUUUAAAAUCAAAAAAGACGACAUAGUUUACAAAUAUUUCUCUAUUCCACAUGAGGGAAAGUUUCUCCUUAUACCCAUUCUACAUCAUUUAUUUCAUAAAUUUUCAAAUUAGGAUUUUUAAGUAUUUGUGUACAUAUAUUUUUCUCGGUUCAUUUUAUUACAUUUUCUUAAAUUUUUGGAAAAGAACUUCGAUACUGCCAAUUUUUAUUUCUCAAUUAGAUGGAAAAUAUAUUUGACGAAAUUGACUUGUAGGAUUGUCCAACAACGUCUUCAACUCCCGCAAAAGACCUAUUACAUUUAAAGCGUAAAAAGUUUAACACGUCUGGUUGCUACAAUACAGAGGUCAGCAUUUCAAAACGACCUGUGGAAGGAAACGAGGUUAUUGACAUUUUAACCACUAUUUCCAAACAGCUUGACGAUUUGACGACGAGGGUAUGCGAUUUGGAAACUAAAAUCGAUAAGCAUUUAAAAGAAAAUAUUAUUCAUAAAAGUGAAGAAAUGGAGCAGCAAAAAACGGUUCGUGAAUGCAAGGUCCUCAUCCGCAAAAUUCAUCAAUCGGUAUGCCGAAUGACUGGUGAAGAUGUCGACAACGUUCAAACCGAAAUUGCUUCCACCCUACCAUUAAAUACGCUCGCUGCAGCUUUGG
Long non-coding RNA from Bactrocera dorsalis (oriental fruit fly), 3191 nucleotides. RefSeq lists it as uncharacterized. The transcript is spliced from 4 exons. The record is from RefSeq and is a predicted model, not a curated record. Lineage: Eukaryota; Metazoa; Arthropoda; Insecta; Diptera; Tephritidae.